AUUUCAUUUCAUCUCUCGUGUGGGCUGAGAAAAGCUUUUUUACUGGUGCUUUUUACACUGUUUUCAAUGUAACCCCAUCACUCCAGCAACCAGAAAAGGGAAAUGUCUUACAAGGAUCAACUUCCCUCUAACAGAGGACUUGCUAGCUGUAUGCAAAGUCUCAGUGGUUCGGAGCAUUUGCAGGUGCUGGCUUCUCACCGAGCAGGUGUUGAAAAUACCCCACUCAGUGCUGUCAGGAUAUCUGCACAGCCGAGUGGAUGUCUAUUCUAGUAGACAGUUUUAUCGCCCGGUUAAUUGAAAGCAUAUUAAUUUGAGGCUGUUAGCACAUUUGUGAAGAUUACAUCAGGCUUUAUCCAAGUGACUGUGGUUCGGGUGAGAGCUCGGCCUCGGGAGGCCGCUGUCUCCUUGCCUGUACCUCUCCCACCCAGGAGAAGAUGCUGCAGAGUCCCAGCAGGAUGUCUUUCUCUCUUUGGUGAAAGAAAACACAAACCAAAGAACUAUCAUCCAUAUUAUCAACUGCUAUCUUCUGUCCCUUACUGGGCACAUGUAAACCAUGCUAAGAACCAGAGAAUCAUAGAAUAUCCGCAGCUGAAAGGGACCGACAAGGAUCGUUGACUCCAGCUCCUGAGGGUUACACUACAAGGUAUUUUAAGAUUUCAAAGCCAAGCCUUCGAUGACCAGGGAAAAUCAGAACUGAAACAUCUCAUGGGGCCUUUGUGUGCUCCACUUCUAUGCUCCUUUGCACAGCAUUUUUACUCACGUGGGCAUCCAUUCUCCUGUACGUUCCCGUAGAUUGAUUUCAGUGUGACCAGGGCUUUUAAAUACUGUGGGGACUCGGACCCUGUCUGCUUUAAAAAUUCUGCUAGAUGUGUGUUUCUGAGGAGGCUUCUAAGGGCCCCGAUCACCAGGACGUCCCGCUUUACUGGAGCAGAGCUCUCGGCAGCUUCCCGUGCAGCUGUGUGCUGGCAGAGGCCUCCCCGGGGGAGCCACCAGGCCUUGUGAUAAACAUACACAGCUUUGCCUCACAUCCCCCCUUACUGCUCAGGGAUGUUGGUCCCGGCUCCUCGUUUCCCAGAAUGUCCUUCUGUUCUUUCUCUUCUCUGUAACCGCCGUUACAGUCACCAAAUGUCACAGAAUGGCUAAGGCUGGAAGGGAUCUCUGGGUCCACAUCCCUACACAGGCAGGGACACCCAGAGCAGGUUGCCC
This is a long non-coding RNA of Gallus gallus (chicken), 1206 nucleotides long. The record is from Ensembl. NCBI's taxonomy places the organism in Eukaryota, Metazoa, Chordata, Aves, Galliformes, Phasianidae.